CAGCACUUUGGGAGGCCAAGGCGGGCAGAUCACCAGAGGUCAGGAGUUUGAGACCAGCCUGACCAACACGGUGAAACCCCAUCUCUAGCAGCCUAGUUUAGGAAGCUGCUUGAUGCCCACAAGGCUAUACUGCCCCAGAGAAGGAGUCCACAUAUAGCACCAUCUAGAAAGCCAAGCCAUAGCUGAGUAUAUUCUGCUCCAUGAACUAGUGGUCACUGCCUCCUUCCAUCCCAGAGGCUACCCUGUCAUUACAACAGCCUUCUCCAGGAAAGCAGCUGCUGCUGUCUAUAUCCUAGAAACAAACUCUCAAAGAGGUUUGCCUUCCACAUCCUAGUGACUGCAACACUCUAACUGUGGACUGAUUACUGAUUUAUUGUGCCAUCAGUGUGCUCACCAACUGGGCCUGGUGUUUCUAGGUGAUCCCCAUCUCAAACCUGCAGAGCAGCCCCAGUAAUCCACAGCCAGGCGAGUGUUUCC
Molecule: long non-coding RNA, 477 nt
Filed under: Homo sapiens (human)
Lineage: Eukaryota; Metazoa; Chordata; Mammalia; Primates; Hominidae
Description: non-protein coding lnc-RASEF-5:1
Source: RNAcentral